Molecule: ribosomal RNA, 459 nt
Filed under: uncultured bacterium
Lineage: Bacteria
Description: partial 16S ribosomal RNA
Rfam family: Bacterial small subunit ribosomal RNA
Source: RNAcentral
CCUACGGGAGGCAGCAGUGAGGAAUAUUGGUCAAUGGGCGGGAGCCUGAACCAGCCAAGCCGCGUGAGGGAAGAAGGUACAGCGUAUCGUAAACCUCUUUUGUCAGGGCACAAAGGCGGGGACUAGUCCCCGGAUGAGGGUACCUGAAGAAAAAGCAUCGGCUAACUCCGGGCCAGCAGCCGCGGUAAUACGGAGGAUGCGAGCGUUAUCCGGAUUUAGUGGGUUUAAAGGGUGCGCAGGCGGCCUGUUAAGUCAGCGGUAAAAGCCCGGGGCUCAACCCCGGCGAGCCGUUGAAACUGGCUGGCUGGAGUUGGAGAGAAGUACGCGGAAUGCGCGGGGUAGCGGUGAAAUGCUUAGAUAUCGCGCAGAACCCCGAUUGCGAAGGCAGCGUACCGGCUCCACACUGACGCUGAGGCACGAAAGCGUGGGUAUCGAACAGGAUUAGAUACCCUAGUAGUC